Molecule: ribosomal RNA, 301 nt
Filed under: uncultured bacterium
Lineage: Bacteria
Description: partial 16S ribosomal RNA
Rfam family: Bacterial small subunit ribosomal RNA
Source: RNAcentral
CAGUAGCCGCGGUAAUACGUAGGGUGCGAGCGUUAAUCGGAAUUACUGGGCGUAAAGCGUGCGCAGGCGGUUGUGUAAGACAGGUGUGAAAUCCCCGGGCUUAACCUGGGAACCGCGCUUGUGACUGCACAGCUAGAGUAUGGCAGAGGGGGGUGGAAUUCCACGUGUAGCAGUGGAAUGCGUAGAGAUGUGGAGGAACACCGAUGGCGAAGGCAGCCCCCUGGGCCAAUACUGACGCUCAUGCACGAAAGCGUGGGGAGCAAACAGGAUUAGAUACCCCUGUAGUCCCUGUCUCUUAUAC